GACGAACGCUGGCGGCGUGCUUAACACAUGCAAGUCGAGCGGGGUCCAACCAGUGGCAACACUGGGGAAGACCUAGCGGCGAACGGGUGAGUAACACGUGAGGAACCUGCCCCGAAGUCUGGGAUAACCCGAGGAAACUCGAGCUAAUACCGGAUGUCUUCCUCCGAUCGCAUGGUCGGAAGAAGAAAGAAUUUCGCUUCGGGAGGGCCUCGCGGCCUAUCAGCUUGUUGGCGGGGUAACGGCCCACCAAGGCAUCGACGGGUAGCUGGUCUGAGAGGACGAUCAGCCACACUGGGACUGAGACACGGCCCAGACUCCUACGGGAGGCAGCAGUGGGGAAUAUUGCGCAAUGGGCGAAAGCCUGACGCAGCAACGCCGCGUGCGGGAUGAAGGCCUUCGGGUUGUAAACCGCUUUCAGUGGGGACGAAAUUGACGGUACCCACAGAAGAAGCCCCGGCCAACUACGUGCCAGCAGCCGCGGUAACACGUAGGGGGCGAGCGUUGUCCGGAUUUAUUGGGCGUAAAGAGCUCGUAGGCGGCUCAGUAAGUCGGGUGUGAAAACUCCAGGCUCAACCUGGAGACGCCACCCGAUACUGCUGUGGCUAGAGUCCGGUAGGGGAGCAUGGAAUUCCUGGUGUAGCGGUGAAAUGCGCAGAUAUCAGGAGGAACACCAGUGGCGAAGGCGGUGCUCUGGGCCGGAACUGACGCUGAGGAGCGAAAGCGUGGGGAGCAAACAGGAUUAGAUACCCUG
RNAcentral lists this ribosomal RNA (751 nucleotides) under uncultured Actinomycetes bacterium. RNAcentral's name for it is "bacterial SSU rRNA". It matches the Rfam family "Bacterial small subunit ribosomal RNA", at positions 28 to 789 of the family's 1533-position model. Lineage: Bacteria; Bacillati; Actinomycetota; Actinomycetes. The record is from RNAcentral.